RNAcentral lists this ribosomal RNA (253 nucleotides) under uncultured bacterium. RNAcentral's name for it is "partial 16S ribosomal RNA". It matches the Rfam family "Bacterial small subunit ribosomal RNA", at positions 524 to 776 of the family's 1533-position model. The record is from RNAcentral.
GACAGAGGGUGCAAACGUUGUUCGGAAUUACUGGGCGUAAAGGGGACGUAGGCGGCCAACUAAGUCCGACGUGAAAUCCCAAGGCUUAACCUUGGAACUGCGUCGGAUACUGGAUGGCUUGAAUUCGGGAGAGGGAUGCAGAAUUCCAGGUGUGGCGGUGAAAUGCGUAGAUAUCUGGAGGAAUACCGGUGGCGAAGGCGGCAUCCUGGACCGACAUUGACGCUGAAAGCCGAAAGCUAGGGGAGCAAACGGG